CAAUAAAUAGUUGGGACAUAUUAUUUUUCUUGAUUUGGCGAGAGUAGUAUUUUGACCCCAAAAAUGUUAAGACAUACAAAAUUUGUGUACACAUACUAUUUUGACAAAAAAAAAUGUUGAAACAUACAAAAAUAGUUGAGACAUAGUAUUUUAUACAAAAAUGGUUGAGACACACAAGGUUGAGGCGGAAAAAAAUGGUUGAGACAUACUAAUUUGACAAAACAAUGUUGAGACAUGCAAAAAUGGUUGAAACAUACUAUUCCGACAAAAAUUGUUGAGACAUAAAAAAAUGGUUGAGACACAAACGGUUGAGACACACGAAAACUGGUUGAGACAUACUAUUUUGACAAAAAAUGUUGAGACAUACGAAAAUGAUCGAGACAUACUAUUUCAACAAAAACGGCUGAGACAUAUACUAUUUUGACAGAAAAAAAUUAAACAUACAAAAAAUGGUUGAGACAUACUAUUUCAAAAAAAUAGUUGAGACAUACAAAAAUGGUUGGGACACAUGGUUGUCAAGAUGUACAAAAAUGGUUGGGACACAUGGUUGUCAAGACACACAAAAAUGGUUGCGACAUAUUAUUUUGACAAAAAAUGUUGAGACAUAGGAAAAUAGUCGAGACAUACUAUUUCAACAAAAACGGUUGAGACAUACAAAAUUGGUUGAGACAUACUAUUUUGACAAAAAUUUGAAACAUAAAAAAAAAUGGUUGGGACACACAUGAUUGAGACAUACAAAAAUGGUUGAGACAUAUUAUUUCAAAAAAAUGGUUGGGACACACAUGGUUGUUGAGAUGGUUGCGACAUAUUAUUUUGACAAAAAAAAUGUUAAAACAUACAUAAAUAGUUGAGACAUAC
This 858-nucleotide long non-coding RNA is filed under the name Brachypodium distachyon (stiff brome). RNAcentral describes it as "long non-coding RNA (BDIS_LNC000470)". Lineage: Eukaryota; Viridiplantae; Streptophyta; Magnoliopsida; Poales; Poaceae. The record is from RNAcentral.